Molecule: non-coding RNA, 4292 nt
Organism: Drosophila melanogaster (fruit fly)
Lineage: Eukaryota; Metazoa; Arthropoda; Insecta; Diptera; Drosophilidae
Source: Ensembl
CAUUCCUUUUCUGUUCUUUGAGCUGUGAACACACAUAAAAACGAUUUUCACUGGUGUAUCUUUAGACAAAUUUUUUUUAUCAAAACUUCUCAUAAAACUAAAAUUCAUACAAAAUUUUAAAAUCCAUUUAAACAAAUAUUUUCAAAAAACAGGCGUACAGGCGUGUAUAUUGAAGGAGUCGGCGAAUAAAGUUGUUCUUGGCAUCUCCUCGGGUUCAUUGACCUUCGAUGUGUUCGAGAUUUCCCGUCCGCAAUGUUGGGGGAUAAUUAAGGUCCAAUGAAAGUGUGCAACAAAGUCUACCCAAACGAUUAGGAAUCGAUGUGAUGAAUCCCAAUAUUGAGAGAAGAAAUCGGAGGAUCAUCAAAGUCCAAUGAAAUGUGCAACAAAAAGGUGAAGUUAUUAAAUUGAAUUUUAAACUAAAAGUCCUCCCCAACGAUUAGGAGUCGAUGUGAUGAAUCCCAAUAUUGAGACAAGGUGCAAUGAAAUAUGCAACAAAUAGGUGAAGUUAUGAAAGUGUUUAAAGUAAAAUAUUCCACCCAAGCAAUUAGAAAUCGUAGGAUCAUCGAAGUCCAAUGCAAUGUGCAACAAAUAGGUGAAGUUAUAAAAUUGAUUAUUAAACUAAGUCCUCCCCAAUGAUUAGGAAUCGAUGUGAUGAAUCCCAAUAUUGAAGAGGAUCAUCAAGGUGCAAUGAAAUAUGCCACAAAUAGGUGAAGUUAUGAAAGUGUUUAAACUAAAAUAUUCCACCCAAGCGAUUAGAAAUCGUAGGAUCAUCAAAGUCCAAUGAAAUGUGCAACAAAUAGGUGAAUGUAUAAAAUUGAUUAUUAAACUAAAAGUCCUCCCCAAUGAUUAGGAAUCGAUGUGAUGAAUCCCAAUAUUGAGACAAGGUGCAAUGAAAUAUGCAACAAAUAGGUGAAGUUAUGAAAGUGUUUAAACUAAAAUAUUCCACCCAAGCGAUUAGAAAUCGUAGGAUCAUCGAAGUCCAAUAAAAUGUGCAACAAAAAGGUGAAGUUAUAAAAUUGAUUAUUAAACUAAGUCCUCCCCAAUGAUUAGGAAUCGAUGUGAUGAACCCCAAUAUUGAAGAGGAUCAUCAAGGUGCAAUGAAAUAUGCAACAAAUAGGUGAAGUUAUAAAAGUGUUUAAACUAAAAUAUUCCACCCAAGCGAUUAGAAAUCGGAGGAUCAUCAAAGUCCAAUGAAAUGUGCAACAAAAAGGUGAAGUUAUUAAAUUAAAUUUUAAACUAAAAGUCCUCCCCAACGAUUAGGAAUCGAUGUGAUGAAUCCCAAUAUUGAGACAAGGUGCAAUGAAAUAUGCAACAAAUAGGUGAAGUUAUAAAAGUGUUUAAACUAAAAUAUUCCACCCAAGCGAUUAGAAAUCGUAGGAUCAUCGAAGUCCAAUGCAAUGUGCAACAAAUAGGUGAAGUUAUAAAAUUGAUUAUUAAGCUAAAAGUCCUCCCCAAUGAUUAGGAAUCGUUGUGAUGAAUCUAGUGUCCUUGCUUUAGCCGAAGUAGUUUGCUGUGAAAUGUGUGCGAAUUUAAAGGUACCGCAGUAAAAGGAUAAUUCAAGUAGGAAAUGGAGAGCAGCAACCCCAACACCUUAUUAUGAAAAUUGAGGACGACUAAGGCAACAUUAUUGAUAAAUAAUAAUGCCUAUCAAAAUGACCGGAGGGAGCGAAUUUUUGUCAACGGCAGCUGGUGCCGCUGGAUUGACAGCUUUUGUUUUCAUAUUAACUACAAGCUGUAAUUUGCGGCAAAAAACACAGCAAUUAACAGGCAAUUGCAGCACGGCAGCCCUCUUUUGUCUUCGGCCCCCAUGGCACACUAAACUAGUUCAGUCCGUCCGUCUCCGCCAACGUCGCUCCUAUCCGGUGUGGUCUGAGGUUCUCGCAUUCGUCUCCGGAUUUGGUGCGACUGCGGAACGCCCACCACCACGCCUUCCAGCACCAUUGAUUGCCACACUGGAGAAAAACUCUGGUCGAUGUGACGGUAUUUUAACGAAAUAUUUCGCUUCUGUGAGGACCCAUUUAAUUGUAUCCUUUUCCUGGUCUUCAUUCAAAUUUAAAUCUGAUUUCUAGAGAAGUAUAGUUUGUUCGUGGAUUUUGGUAUAAAAUAGAAUCGUUUCAAUCAAUUAAAUAUAUGCAAUUCCACUAAUCUUCGCUUUUUCUAGCUUUCAACUUAAGAAAACCAAAAUUUAAGUGCAUGUACCAGAAUAAUUUUGAAAAAUGUUGUACGAAACCCACAAAUAUCUGGUCGAUGUGACGGUAUUUUAACAAAAUUCUUUAAUAGUGAGCACGCAAAUUUCUGAUUGAAGUAGUACCACCUGAAGGAAUUUAUUUUUCUUAUCUUUUUGUGAUUUUAAUAUUUUUAUAGUUUAAUUGUUUCCCUUUCGGGCAGAUUGCUGAUCUCUUCGUCUUGAUUUAUAAGCGAAUUGUGGUCAUUCAAAUUUAAAUCUGAAAUUUGGUUUCUCGUGGAUUUUGGUAUAAAAUAGAAUCGUUUCAAUCAAUUUAAUAUAUGCAAUUCCACAAAUCUUCGCUUUUUCUAGCUUUCAACUUAAGAAAACCAAAAUUUAAGUGCAUGUACCAGAAUAAUUUUGAAAAAUGUUGUACGAAACCCACAAAUAUCUGGUCGAUGUGACGGUAUUUUAACAAAAUUCUUUAAUAGUGAGCACGCAAAUUUCUGAUUGAAGUAGUACCACCUGAAGGAAUUUAUUUUUCUUAAUAUCUUUUUGUGAUUUUAAUAUUUUUAUAGUUUAAUUGUUUUCCUUUCGGGCAGAUUGCUGAUCUCUUCGUCUUGAUUUAUAAGCGAAUUGUGUUCAUUCAAGUUUCUAGAGAAAUUUAGUUUCUCGUGGAUUUUGGUAUAAAAUAGAAUCGUUUCAAUACAUUUAAUAUAAAUACAAUUCCACUAAUCCUCGCUUCUUUAGCCUUCAAAUUGAGAAACUUAAAAUUUAAAUGCAUGUACCAGAAUAUUUUUGAAAAAUGUUGUACGAAAGGCACAAAUAUCUGAUCAUAAUGAUUACUUGCAAAUGGAUGAAUUACACUAUUUACUAUUAAUUUCCUUGUUGAAGUAGGGUACAAAUUAUGAUAAUUUAAUGACGAAUGAUUCUAUGCAGAUCUUUUAUUGAUAAAUUUUUAGAUUUUAUUAGUUUCAUUUUAUUACUCACGCGGUUUUUAAAAAUGGAAAAUCGAUGUACAUAUUUUUCGUUUGGGCAGUCGGAUGAUAGUGAUGUUGGAAACACAUUUAAUAACAAUUUUUCACAUAGAUAUCACUAUUAAUAUCAAAUGAUUUAGCUUAUAUUUAUGAACGCGGACUGGAUAAAUGGUGAUGUGCAUUUACUGUCGUGGGCCGACUUGAAGCAUUAUAAUUAAUUGGAAAUCGGAGUCGAUCAAUCGGAUGGCAACCGCAAAAUUAAUAAGCAUGAAUGAUGCCGACGACGCGAGUGUUCGCAGUAAUUGUGGAUGCGCCUGCACCCGUACUCGAGCUCAUAGUCAAAGUGGAGCAGACCAGACCAGAUCAGACCAAGCCAACCCAACCCAGGCCAGAGCUGACGGGCUAAUCAAAUUGCUGGCAAUCAUGGAGCCGUAUAAGCAAAUGUAGCAAUUUCAGUCAAACACCGAGAGAGCCGGCAACUUGAUAUGGCCAAGCUGCAGACGGCAACAACCACUUGUGGCUGCGACGCGAUUUGAUUCGAUUCGAUUCCAUUCCAUUCCAUUCGAUUCGCCUUAACUGAACUCGACUUGGGCUGGCUGUGGAAACCUCAGUCGAGUCAAUCAAAUGCAAAAUUGCGGUUCUUUGUUGAUUGUUGUUAAAAUCGCACUGCCGCUACCCAGCAGCAGCAGCAGCAACAGUAGCGGCAGUGGCAACAUUUUGCAUUUACCAACUGCAACUAGGCUUUCCAUACCAAUUAGUUUGAUUGAUUCCCGCAGACUGCAGCCAAAAUACAUACCUCGACAGGGACCCGGAUAUGCCACGGCGAUGGAACGUCCAAUUUUGCAAAUCAUUCGAUUUAUAUCACAGGCGCUCCUGUACGUCUUCCCAUCCACACCGCACACCGCCUGUCGCUCGUCGUAGCCACUGGAGUCCACAUCCAGGUUGUCCCAGGGACACUCGAUCCGGCAGGCGAUACAGUGGGGCAUCAGAUACUGAUCCUCCACGCAGGUCAAUCCGUUCAAGCAAUGGACUCCGCUGCAGCUGUCUGGGGGAUAGGAUGAAGAAAGAAAGAAAGAAAGAAAAAUGUAUUUGUUAUACUAAUAUGUAUUGUUAAAAUUAAUAUUUGUUAAAUAAAGUAUGUAAUAUAAACU